GACGAACGCUGGCGGCGUGCUUAACACAUGCAAGUCGAACGAGAGCGUAGAGAAAGCUUGCUUUUUCUACAAUCUAGUGGCAAACGGGUGAGUAACGCGUAAACAACCUGCCCUACGGAUGGGGACAACAGCUGGAAACGGCUGCUAAUACCGAAUACGUUCCGAAAGUCGCAUGACUAUCGGAAGAAAGGAUGGCCUCUAUUUAUAAGCUAUCGCCGGAGGAGGGGUUUGCGUCUGCUUAGCUAGUUGGAGGGGUAACGGCCCACCAAGGCGACGAUCAGUAGCCGGUCUGAGAGGAUGAACGGCCACAUUGGAACUGAGACACGGUCCAGACUCCUACGGGAGGCAGCAGGGGGGGAUCUUCCGCAAAGGGCGAAAGCCUGACGGAGCAACGCCGCGGGAGUGAAGACGGCCUUCGGGUUGUAAAGCUCUGUUAUACGGGACGAAUAAUCUUGUGGUUAAUACCCAUGAGAAGUGACGGUACCGUAAGAGAAAGCCACGGCUAACUACGUG
Molecule: ribosomal RNA, 513 nt
Filed under: uncultured bacterium
Lineage: Bacteria
Description: partial 16S ribosomal RNA
Rfam family: Bacterial small subunit ribosomal RNA
Source: RNAcentral